UUCAUAAUUCCGGCAAAUGUGCGCCACAUCACUUCACACCAGGCCGCGCUCUCAGUAUCAUCCGUUGUAGACAAACCCUCGCUGCCCGUCGGCGAGGGUUUUUCUUUGGA
Molecule: small RNA, 110 nt
Filed under: Kosakonia sacchari
Lineage: Bacteria; Pseudomonadati; Pseudomonadota; Gammaproteobacteria; Enterobacterales; Enterobacteriaceae
Description: Enterobacteria rnk leader
Rfam family: Enterobacteria rnk leader
Source: RNAcentral